CGAUCUGGAUAAUUGCUGAUGCCUUUGAGCAUUAGAGGAAAGUCCAUGCUCGCACCAUCUGCGAUGAUGGUAGUGUUUGCGCUAGCGGAAAAAAUAACGCUAGGUAUAUGGGAGCAUAUAACGGCGAAUGGAUACCUAAGUUGCUUUGCAAUACGGUAAAGAUUCUGAAAGUGCCACAGUGACGUAGUUUAUUGGAAACAAUAAAGUGGAACGCGGUAAACCCCACAAGCGAGAAACCCAAAUUUGGUAGGGGAGGUUUUAUAGAAGAAUUGAAUUCUAUAAAGCAUGCAGCAAUGCAUAGAUAAAUAGUUAUCCUAGACAAAACAUGGCUUAUAGGA
Non-coding RNA from Coprobacillus sp. CAG:826, 338 nucleotides. NCBI's taxonomy places the organism in Bacteria, Bacillati, Bacillota, Erysipelotrichia, Erysipelotrichales, Coprobacillaceae. The record is from Rfam.